GUGAAUCAUCGAAUUUUUGAACGCAAAUUGCGCUUCCUGGCAUCCCGGGGAGUAUGCGUGUGUGAGGGUCAGUAUUAACAAAAGAGCUGUUUGGUUGCAAAGUGUGGCGGUUCCGGAGUUUUGGCUAUCUUAACCUUUUUGGGUAAGGUACUUUAAAUUGACCUUAUUUACUCAUGUUGAGACGUACAUAAAUUUUUUUUUUGUUCGUCUAUUCUUAAUGCCAAAAUCUUGUUAUGUGCGUUCACAG
This 247-nucleotide unclassified non-coding RNA is filed under the name Glomeraceae sp. RNAcentral's name for it is "partial contains 5.8S ribosomal RNA and internal transcribed spacer 2". The stretch from base 1 to 71 matches the Rfam family "5.8S ribosomal RNA", at positions 84 to 154 of the family's 154-position model. The record is from RNAcentral. Lineage: Eukaryota; Fungi; Glomeromycota; Glomeromycetes; Glomerales; Glomeraceae.